UACGUAGGGUGCAAGCGUUAAUCGGAAUUACUGGGCGUAAAGCGUGCGCAGGCGGUUUUGUAAGUCUGUCGUGAAAUCCCCGGGCUUAACCUGGGAAUUGCGAUGGAGACUGCAAGGCUAGAAUCUGGCAGAGGGGGAUGGAAUUCCGCGUGUAGCAGUGAAAUGCGUAGAUAUGCGGAGGAACACCGAUGGCGAAGGCAAUCCCCUGGGCCUGCACUGACGCUCAUGCACGAAAGCGUGGGGAGCAAACAGG
Molecule: ribosomal RNA, 253 nt
Filed under: uncultured bacterium
Lineage: Bacteria
Description: partial 16S ribosomal RNA
Rfam family: Bacterial small subunit ribosomal RNA
Source: RNAcentral